This 86-nucleotide small RNA is filed under the name Chryseobacterium nakagawai. RNAcentral describes it as "Flavo-1 RNA". Lineage: Bacteria; Pseudomonadati; Bacteroidota; Flavobacteriia; Flavobacteriales; Weeksellaceae. The record is from RNAcentral.
AUUUAGCCCUGAUAGUAGCGGUUACCCCACAGCAUACGGCAGGAAAAGCUGGGCGCGAGGAGUAUGAGCGGAUAGCAGGAAACAGC